AGAGUUUGAUCAUGGCUCAGAAUCAACGCUGGCGGCGUGCCUAACACAUGCAAGUCGAACGCGAAAGUGGAGCAAUCCAUGAGUAGAGUGGCAAACGGGUGAGUAACACGUGGGUGACCUGCCUUCGAGCGGGGGAUAACGUCCCGAAAGGGACGCUAAUACCGCAUAACAUCCUGCCUUUGAAGAGGUGGAGAUCAAAGCUGGGGAUCGCAAGACCUAGCACUCGAAGAGGGGCCCGCGUCCGAUUAGCUAGUUGGUGAGGUAAUGGCUCACCAAGGCAACGAUCGGUAGCCGGCCUGAGAGGGCGGACGGCCACACUGGGACUGAGACACGGCCCAGACUCCUACGGGAGGCAGCAGUGGGGAAUUGUUCGCAAUGGGCGCAAGCCUGACGACGCAACGCCGCGUGGAGGAUGAAGAUCUUCGGGUCGUAAACUCCUUUCGAUCGAGACGAACGGCCCCGGGGUAAACAAUCCCGGGAGUGACGGUACCGAGAGAAGAAGCCCGGCUACUCCGUGCCAGCAGCCGCGGUA
This 532-nucleotide ribosomal RNA is filed under the name uncultured Acidobacteriota bacterium. RNAcentral describes it as "bacterial SSU rRNA". It matches the Rfam family "Bacterial small subunit ribosomal RNA", at positions 8 to 522 of the family's 1533-position model. The record is from RNAcentral. Lineage: Bacteria; Pseudomonadati; Acidobacteriota.